This 250-nucleotide unclassified non-coding RNA is filed under the name plant metagenome. Its description in RNAcentral is "partial contains small subunit ribosomal RNA, internal transcribed spacer 1, and 5.8S ribosomal RNA". The record is from RNAcentral.
GUAGGUGAACCUGCGGAAGGAUCAUUACAGAGUUUAUGCUCGUCAGAGCUAACCUCCCACCCGUGUCUAUUACAUCUUGUUGCUUCGGCGGCGCAUUCGUGUGCCGCCGGGGACACCAUUUGAACUCUGUUUUAUAAUGCAGUCUGAGAAUAUAACUUAAUUAGUUAAAACUUUCAACAACGGAUCUCUUGGUUCCGGCAUCGAUGAAGAACGCAGCAUCUGACUGACUGGAAGCUUGUCUAUCUCGUAU